This 282-nucleotide long non-coding RNA is filed under the name Lathyrus oleraceus (garden pea). RNAcentral's name for it is "Pisum sativum (pea) long non-coding RNA (PSAT_LNC034435)". The record is from RNAcentral. Lineage: Eukaryota; Viridiplantae; Streptophyta; Magnoliopsida; Fabales; Fabaceae.
AAGAAAUAAAUAAAUAAAUAAAUAAAAUAAAAAAUCUCAGACUUGGACCUCUCUCAAAAGCCCACUAAGCUACCAAUAUUAGGCUAUAAAUACUAGAGUUUUUAUUGAAACAAAACCCUGGACAAAACCUGGAGAGAAACCUAGACAAAGAGAGUGAGAAUUAAUCUGCAGCAACCUCUAGGCAACUCUGAAAGGUUCAUUCUGACUCACACACUUUCAGCUCAAGCAAACCCUAACAUUGAUUUGCAAAUCCAGCCGUGCCAUUUGAUUUCAACCGGUCUC